AGUGAACGCUGGCGGCGUGCCUAAUACAUGCAAGUCGAACGGAAUUUAAAAGAGCUUGCUCUUUUAAAUUUAGUGGCGCACGGGUGAGUAAUAUAUAGCUAAUCUGCCCCUUGCUGGAGGACAACAGUUAGAAAUGACUGCUAAUACUCCAUACUCCUUUUUACCAUAAGAUAAAUCGGGAAAGAAUUUCGGCAAGGGAUGAGACUAUAUCGUAUCAGCUAGUCGGUGGGGUAACGGCCUACCGAGGCUAUGACGCGUAACUGGUCUGAGAGGAUGAUCAGUCACAUUGGAACUGAGACACGGUCCAAACUCCUACGGGAGGCAGCAGUAGGGAAUAUUGCGCAAUGGGGGAAACCCUGACGCAGCAACGCCGCGUGGAGGAUGACACUUUUCGGAGCGUAAACUCCUUUUGUUAGGGAAGAAUAAGACGGUACCUAA
Molecule: ribosomal RNA, 438 nt
Filed under: Campylobacter gracilis
Lineage: Bacteria; Pseudomonadati; Campylobacterota; Epsilonproteobacteria; Campylobacterales; Campylobacteraceae
Description: bacterial SSU rRNA
Rfam family: Bacterial small subunit ribosomal RNA
Source: RNAcentral